Molecule: unclassified non-coding RNA, 996 nt
Filed under: Hevea brasiliensis (rubber tree)
Lineage: Eukaryota; Viridiplantae; Streptophyta; Magnoliopsida; Malpighiales; Euphorbiaceae
Source: RNAcentral
GUUUUGGAGGAGCAUAUGGAAAAUUCAGAUUCCUACUAAAAUAGCUCUUUUCAUUUGGAAGUUCCUUAAGAAAAGGCUACCAACAGGGGAAAAUUUACAUAAGGGGCUUUCUUUUAUUCCAGUUGAAUGUCCUUUAUGUGGUGAAAGGAAAACAAUGAAGCAUCUUUUUUUCCGGUGCCCAAGAGUGGUGUAAAUAUGGUUUCACUCUCCUUUCAAUUUACGAUCAACUCUAAUUAACCGGAUUUCUAUGAUUGAUUGUUGGUCGGAAAUUACAACCGGAUUAUCUCAACUCCAAGCCAUACAAGAUUAUCUUCCUCUACUAGCCUUCUUGUUGUGGCAUUUAUGGAAAUCCAGAAACAAGCUUAUCUUUGAGAAGCAGUAUAUGCGAUUCCAAGAGGUGGUUUCAGUUGCUGUCCAUUCUUUUGAAGAGUUCCAUCACACUCAUCUUUCUCCAAGAACAUCUUUCUUCCAGCCAUCUCAGCCUUCCCUAUUAUGGUCCCCUCCUGCAGUUAGAUGUUUUAAGAUUAAUUUUGAUGCAGCUUUGGCAAAGCAAAGAUGUGAAGGAGCUAUUGCAGCAGUACUUUGAGAUUCUAAUGGUCAACCUUUAGGGUGGUUAUGCAAGAAAGUAUUUAACCAAAUGAACCCUCAUAUACCGGAAGCUUUAGCAUGUAAACAGGCAAUUCAGUUGGCAAUAGAUAAAGGAAUCAAUGAGGUGAUUGUUGAAGGGGAUUCUUUGAUUGUUAUUCAGGGUAUCCAGUCUCAAGACCCACUGUUAGAGAUCAGAGGGAUCAUUUAGGAUAUUUUCAUCCUGUCUCAAUACAUCCAAUGAAUUAGUUUUACACAUGUUAAUAGAAGUUGUAACGAGGCUGCUCAUAGCCUAGGCUAGAAAUCCUUGCAUGACUCUUCUUUUUUGUAUAAUCCUAUGAUGCAAGUGAUGUUUGUUACCUCUUCGAUGCCCAUUUAGAGGCUAGUAAUGAAUUCUAUCUUUAGUUAAAA